This 1325-nucleotide ribosomal RNA is filed under the name Candidatus Phytoplasma citri. Its description in RNAcentral is "bacterial SSU rRNA". It matches the Rfam family "Bacterial small subunit ribosomal RNA", at positions 114 to 1438 of the family's 1533-position model. Lineage: Bacteria; Bacillati; Mycoplasmatota; Mollicutes; Acholeplasmatales; Acholeplasmataceae. The record is from RNAcentral.
CACGUAAGCAACCUACCCUAAAGACGAGGAUAACCAUUGGAAACAGUGGCUAAGACUGGAUAGGAAGAAAUAAGGCAUCUUAUUUCUUUUAAAAGACCUAGUAAUAGGUAUACUUUAGGAGGGGCUUGCGCCAUAUUAGUUAGUUGGUAGGGUAAUGGCCUACCAAGACGAUGAUGUGUAGCUGGACUGAGAGGUUGAACAGCCACAUUGGGACUGAGACACGGCCCAAACUCCUACGGGAGGCAGCAGUAGGGAAUUUUCGGCAAUGGAGGAAACUCUGACCGAGCAACGCCGCGUGAACGACGAAGUACUUUGGUAUGUAAAGUUCUUUUAUCAAGGAAGAAAAGCAAGUGGUGAACCAUUUGUUUGCCGGUACUUGAUGAAUAAGCCCCGGCUAAUUAUGUGCCAGCAGCCGCGGUAAGACAUAAGGGGCAAGUGUUAUCCGGAAUUAUUGGGCGUAAAGGGUGCGUAGGCGGUCUAGUAAGUCAGUGGUGUAAUGGCAACGCUCAACGUUGUCCGGCUAUUGAAACUGCUAAACUUGAGUUAGAUAGAGGCGAGUGGAAUUCCAUGUGUAGCGGUAAAAUGCGUAAAUAUAUGGAGGAACACCAGAGGCGUAGGCGGCUCGCUGGGUCUUAACUGACGCUGAGGCACGAAAGCGUGGGGAGCAAACAGGAUUAGAUACCCUGGUAGUCCACGCCGUAAACGAUGAGUACUAAGUGUCGGGUUAAACCGGUACUGAAGUUAACACAUUAAGUACUCCGCCUGAGUAGUACGUACGCAAGUAUGAAACUUAAAGGAAUUGACGGGACUCCGCACAAGCGGUGGAUCAUGUUGUUUAAUUCGAAGAUACCCGAAAAACCUUACCAGGUCUUGACAUGUUUUUGCGAAACGGUAGUAAUAUCGUGGAGGUUAUCAGAAACACAGGUGGUGCAUGGUUGUCGUCAGCUCGUGUCGUGAGAUGUUAGGUUAAGUCCUAAAACGAGCGAAACCCUUAUCGUUAGUUGCCAGCACGUUAUGGUGGGGACUUUAACGAGACUGCCAGUGAUAAACUGGAGGAAGGUGAGGAUCACGUCAAAUCAGCAUGCCCCUUAUGACCUGGGCUACAAACGUGAUACAAUGGCUGUUACAAAGGGUAGCUGAAACGCAAGUUCUUGGCCAAUCCCCAAAAACAGUCUCAGUCCGGAUUGAAGUCUGCAACUCGACUUCAUGAAGUUGGAAUCGCUAGUAAUCGCGAAUCAGCAUGUCGCGGUGAAUACGUUCUCGGGGUUUGUACACACCGCCCGUCAAACCACGAAAGUUGGCAAUACCCCAAAACGGUAGCCUAA